Molecule: ribosomal RNA, 1881 nt
Filed under: human gut metagenome
Description: bacterial LSU rRNA
Rfam family: Bacterial large subunit ribosomal RNA
Source: RNAcentral
UCAAGCGAACAAGGGCGCAGGGCGAAUGCCUUGGCACUGGGAGCCGAUGAAAGACGUGAUAAGCUGCGAUAAGCUUCGGGGAGCUGCAAAUAAGCAUUGAUCCGGAGAUUUCUGAAUGAGGAAACUCACCUGGGUUCAUACUCAGGUACAAUACACUGAAAUUUAAAAUAGGUGUAUUGAGGGAACCGCCUGAACUGAAACAUCUAAGUAGGGCGAGGAAGAGACAUCAAACGAGAUUCCGUAAGUAGUGGCGAGCGAACGCGGAAGAGGGCAAACCGAGAGUAGAAAUACUUUCGGGGUACGGACUGCUUUUAAGACUUAAUCUGUUAACCGAACGGCAUGGGAAGGCCGGUCAGAGAGUGUGAGAACCACGUAGGUGAAAACGGAGAGAGCUGCGCAGGAUCCAGAGUACGGCCAGACACGUGAAACCUGGUCGGAAUACGGGGGGACCACCCUCCAACCCUAAAUACUACCCAGUGACCGAUAGCGUAUAGUACUGUGAAGGAAAGGUGAAAAGCACCCCGGGAGGGGAGUGAAAAAGAACCUGAAACCCUGUGCCUACAAGCACCUAGAGCGCGUCAAUGCGUGAUAGGGUACUUUUUGUAGAACGGUCCGGCGAGCGAUUGUAUGCAGCAAGGUUAAGGACUUAAGGUCUGGAGCCGAAGCGAAAGCGAGUUUGAAAAGGGCGUUAAGUUGCAUAUAAUGGGCCCGAAACCGGGUGACCUACCCAUGGUCAGGUUGAAGUGGAAGUAAAAUUCCAUGGAGGACCGAACCGACCUCCGUUGAAAAGGCGGCGGAUGAACUGUGGGUAGCGGAGAAAUUCCAAUCGAACCCGGAGAUAGCUGGUUCUCCCCGAAAUAGUUUUAGGACUAGCCUCAAGUUAGAUACCUGGAGGUAAAGCACUGAAUAGCCUAGCGGCCGAGAGGUUAGCGAAGCUUAUCAAACUCAGAAUGCCAGAGUAUUGAUGCUUGGGAGUCAGACAGUGUCAGAUAAAUGUCAUUGUCAAAAGGGAAACAGCCCAGAUCUACAGCUAAGGUCCCAAAGUCAGGUUAAGUGGAAAACGAUGUGAAGAUACGCAGACAACCAGGAUGUUGGCUCAGAAGCAGCCACUCAUUCAAAGAGUGCGUAAUAGCUCACUGGUCGAGCGUCUUUGCGCGGAGAAUUUAACGGGGCUAAACCUGACACCGAAGCUUAGGCAAUACAGCAAUGUAUUGGGUAGGGGAGCGUUGUAUACGCGGAGAAACAGUAGCGUAAGCGGCUGUGGAGUGUAUAGAAGUGAGAAUGCCGGAAUGAGUAGCGCGAAUGCAGUGAGAAUCUGCAUGGCCGAAAGCCUCAGGUUUCUGGAGGAAGGUUCGUCCGCUCCAGGUUAGUCGGGAGCUAAGGUGAGGCCGGAAGGCGUAGCCGAUGCACAGACGGUAGAGAUUCCGUCACCACCAAAAGAGUUAAGCACAGGGACACAUAUGAAGUCUCAGAGCCGGGUGUUGGUUCCGGUAGAGAUCGAGGGAAGUUAGUACCGAAGUCUGAGAUGGAAGAUGGCGAGAAAAGCUGUGUGUAUUUCUGAGGUGCCCGUACCGCAAACCGACACAGGUAGGUAGGAAGAAGAUUCUAAGGCCAACGGGAGAAGGGUUGUUAAGGAACUCGGCAAAUUGACCCCGUAACUUCGGGAGAAGGGGUGCUCCAGAGAUGGAGCCGCAGAGAAUCGGCCCAAGCAACUGUUUACCAAAAACACAGGUUUGUGCUAAAUCGAAAGAUGACGUAUACGAGCUGACGCCUGCCCGGUGCUGGAAGGUUAAAAGGAGAUGUGCAAGCAUUGAAUUGAAGCCCCAGUGAACGGCGGCCGUAACUAUAACGGUCCUAAGGUAGCGAAAUUCCUUGUCAGGU